ACCUGGAUGGCUCAGCAGGUAGAGCAUGGGACUCUUGAUCUCAGGGCUGUGAGCUCAAGCCCCACGUUGGGCA
This 73-nucleotide transfer RNA is filed under the name Ailuropoda melanoleuca (giant panda). It matches the Rfam family "tRNA". Rfam says of the family: Transfer RNA (tRNA) molecules are approximately 80 nucleotides in length. Their secondary structure includes four short double-helical elements and three loops (D, anti-codon, and T loops). The record is from Rfam by way of RNAcentral. Lineage: Eukaryota; Metazoa; Chordata; Mammalia; Carnivora; Ursidae.